AAUACGAGCAAUGAAACAAUCCAGUUUUUAUAAUCUUCAAAUUUUAAUAUGAACAUAUAAAAAUAUUAUUGUCAACUUAUAGCAGUUAUAAAAAUCAAAUAUUAGAUUUUAAUACAUUAUAUAAAGAUAACAAUAAAGAAUCACUCACCGACAGAUAAUGAAUAUACAACAUUCUACACCCUAACCUGUCCUAACCUAAGGUUUAUUUCCAUUGCUUACGAUUUACAAACGUUUUGGGGGAAAAUAUCAUAUGUUCCUUACGACGAAUUGCUGAAUGUUAACGGAAAUGACGUUUACCGUUAUUCUCGUAAAUAAAGCAUAUCAAAAAGUAUUUUUAAUUUUCGAAAAUGUUAUAAAUCUGUAUUUGUAACAGUACUGUUACAAAGUUAUUUAAAGUUUUGUCAAAUUUUAAACGUGUAAAAUGAAAGCAUAACUCAAAUUAAUACAUAAUUUUAGUAAUAACUUUAUGAAUAGAAGAAAGUGACACAAUAAAAUGUUAUCUAAGGUCUCAGGCAUGCUUAUAAUGUUCAUCAAAUUAUUUAUUGAUAAGUGUUAUUAAGUUUUACAAAUAUUUAUGUUGGAUGUUUUUACAUAUGUAAUAUUAAUAUAUUUCUAAUGAAAUAUUUUAUAUACAGGA
This is a long non-coding RNA of Bombus pascuorum, 637 nucleotides long. RefSeq lists it as uncharacterized. NCBI's taxonomy places the organism in Eukaryota, Metazoa, Arthropoda, Insecta, Hymenoptera, Apidae. The record is from RefSeq and is a predicted model, not a curated record. The transcript is spliced from 2 exons.